AACGUAGGAGGCAAGCGUUAUCCGGAUUCACUGGGCGUAAAGCGCAUGUAGGCGGUCCGGUAAGUCGGACGUGAAAGCUCCUGGCUCAACUGGGAGAGGCCGUUCGAAACUACCAGACUCGAGGGCAGUAGAGGGAGGUGGAAUUCCGGGUGUAGCGGUGAAAUGCGUAGAUAUCCGGAGGAACACCAGUGGCGAAGGCGGCCUCCUGGACUGUCCCUGACGCUCAGAUGCGAAAGCUAGGGGAGCGAACGGG
RNAcentral lists this ribosomal RNA (253 nucleotides) under uncultured bacterium. RNAcentral describes it as "partial 16S ribosomal RNA". It matches the Rfam family "Bacterial small subunit ribosomal RNA", at positions 524 to 776 of the family's 1533-position model. The record is from RNAcentral.